GGAUUAUUUCAAGGAUUUAGUCA
RNAcentral lists this non-coding RNA (23 nucleotides) under Arabidopsis thaliana (thale cress). Lineage: Eukaryota; Viridiplantae; Streptophyta; Magnoliopsida; Brassicales; Brassicaceae. The record is from RNAcentral.